Molecule: long non-coding RNA, 2977 nt
Filed under: Triticum aestivum (bread wheat)
Lineage: Eukaryota; Viridiplantae; Streptophyta; Magnoliopsida; Poales; Poaceae
Description: long non-coding RNA (TAES_LNC023318)
Source: RNAcentral
AACCAACUUCAUCCUCGUCGUGCCAGCUGAUCCAACCCUAGUCCUGCAUGACAAAUCAGCAAACUGAUUACACAUCCUGGCCGAGACUGUUUGUUUGUAGUGGAGCAUAUAUACUUAACACAUUUCUUUCAUCAUACUUCUGCACAAUCAUGGAAAUUUCAAAACAUACUCGGAAAACUUUACAAAUAAACCUAUUUUUUGGGCAAAUGACUCCUGAAAAGCUCACCGGAUAUUCUUCACACAAAACAUAACUAUCACUAGUGCCUAAUCAUAAUUUGAACAAAUUUUUUUUACAAACCCUUGAUCUCUAGCUAUGGUGAUGUGUAUUUUGCAUAGUGCUACAGGGCCUAAGUUUAGAUGAAACACACUCGCUGCUGUCUAGCCGCUACAUACAUUCAGGAAAAGUGGAAAACCCAUGCCUUUGAACUAGUUUUGUCUUAGUAAGUUUAGACAUUUCCAAAAUCAGCAGCACUAAUUUAUAUGGUCAAUUACUUCAAACUUCUGUUCAUAAUAAGCAUCAAUUUUAUAAAAUCCAAGGGGCCCUACAGAUCGCAAUAAGCUGAAUAUUAACCGUAUACAUUUCGAAAAUUCAGCAACACUAGUUUCCUAAAAUUCAGCAGCACUAGUCUAUCAUAUUAAACCUACACAUUCCGAAAUUCAGCAGCACUAGUUGUCCUCCCGUAGUCUUAGUCAAUUUCUUAAAAUCCAAGGCUAAGGGUUUUACCUUCAAAAUCAUGCACACAAAUUCAUGAAAACCUGGGGAGAAGCCAACAUUUGAAACUAAACCAGACAUGCCAAGCUGGAACACAGUUCGACUUAUUACAUUACCUAGCCACUGGCCAAAAUGCAGAGUUACGAAAAGCAUGUCAACACCUAAAAAUUAACCAUGGUCUAGAUUACGCCGAAGCUAAAACAUGUCACCUACAGGCAUAUGCCUCAAUAGCAAAUAAGAUAACUGAAAAGACACCAUGAGCCCAUCAGCUCCUACCCGGUGCAUUCCACAAACUGCAUUCUACUUGCCAGCCUUAGUUCCAUUGCUUUAUUACAAUUAUUUUGCUGGUGCCCCUCAAACUGCAUUCUACUUGCAAGCCACAGUUCUUACAUUUGGCAGGCUUCCGAGGUUGCUUAGGGACAUCACCACAUCAGGGCAUGUAGUUUGCUUAUGCCCUUGUUUUCAGCAUAUCAUGCAAAACCUAGUCAUCUUGCUUAGACCUUCAUAUGGAGCCUUCUCCGUACUUGUCGUUGGCCAUCCCAUAUUUUUUCCGCUGGAGCCAGCAGUCCUUCCAACCUAUUGCUUGUCCUCGAAACUGAAUCAUUGUCAGCUAAAACAGCAGUAGCUGCUUUGACGUUCAUGUUUUGUUCCGCCAAAACUAGCUCCAUGGGGGUCUGAUUCACCACAGCCCACCUGUUUGCCAGUCUAUCCUCGAGGCCAAGACCAUCCCUAACUACUGUACAGGGUAACAUCACUGUCAAAUUCGACUUGAACAACUCGAUCAAUCAAUUGUAGGCUUCAACACUAGUGUCGCCCAGCCUGACUAGUUCCAUUGUGUGCAUGUACAUCGUGAAGUUUCUGUACGAAAAAGGGUUGUUCUGCAUGCUGUCCUUCUGGUAUUGUAUCAGACGAGGUGGCAGAAUGUCGCGAGCAUCCCUCAUCCAUGUCUUCACUAUAUGCUUAGCUGGUAUUUUUUAGCCUUAAUGAAAUCCAGCAUCCCUUCAUUAUGUGCACGCUUUUCAUGAGCUUCUCAGAUAAAAAUUGUACUCCAUUUGUAUCUGAUUUACUAACAACAAAUCAGUGAGAGCAUCACCAGAAGCCUCGCCCAAGGAGUUGAAUGUAGUGCCGAGAAUAGGUGUGAUCACAUUUUCAGCCGGUUUCUCUGCAAAACAUCUGACAGCCUUGUCGAACGCACUGAUUCGAUUUGGGCAUGGUGUCCUGCUUGGUGCAACAGCACCAAGCCUCAGCCUGCAACACCAGGCAGUACGCAUGAUUUAUCCAAAUGCAUUGUACCAACUGCUCUGAAUCCACAAAGCUAUAGCUGACUGAUUUCUUUUCUGCAAUCCAAUUUUCUAUAAUAAAAUCUUUGCAUGUCUCAUAUCAAAUGGUUUCAUUUUAAUACAGUUUGCUAACUACUCUGAACCCAUACAUCUCUAGCUGCCUGAUUUCUUUAGUGUUGUUAAUUUUUAUUUAAUAAAAUAUUUUCCAUCUGUGAUCACAUAAUUAAGCUUUUCAUUAUCAGACUGUCAAUAAUCAGAAUGCAUCGUACUUACUCCUCUGAACCCAGCAAACUGCAGCUGCCUGAUUUAUUUACCGCACUCAAUUUUUCUUUACUAAAAUCUUUGCAUCUCGCAUAUCAAUGAGUUACAACUGAAUGCAGUGCACAAACUACUCUGUUUUAUUGAAAUCUUUGCUUAUCUGAUGACAUAAGGAAGUUUUUUCUUAUCCGAAUUUCAACUACGUGAAUGCAAUGGAGUUAACCCGCUGAACCCGGUAAAUUACAGCUGCCUGAUUUCAUUAGUGCUACCAAUUUUUCUCCAUUAAUUUCUUUGCAUCCCUUCCCCAACCCUGCGCAAGCGGGAGCUACAUGCACCGGGCUGCCCUUUUUUUUUAUUUCUUUGCAUCUCUCAUAUCAGGAGGGUUCAGCUAAAUGUAUUGUACUACUAAAUACUCUGAAUCUAGAAAGAUAUAGCUGCCUGAUUCUUUACUGAUGUCAAUUUUUCUUUACUAAAAUCUUUGCAUCUCUGAUGACAUACGGAAGCUUUUCCACUGACCUCUUAUUCCAUCCGGGCGCCUGGGGAUUCGUCUUCCCCGUUGAGAGCUCGGGCAUCGGAGGGGAGCUAUCCCUUCUGCCCGCUGCGGCCUCCGCCCCUGAUCUGUGCUUUGCCGCUGUCCGCCGCCCUGUGAUGCUGCCGCACCGCAUGCUCCGCCACCACUUCGCCAUCGGCAACCGGAGGGGCAGGCACCAGGCUCUCUUCUCUCUCC